Non-coding RNA from Danio rerio (zebrafish), 367 nucleotides. The record is from RefSeq and is a predicted model, not a curated record. NCBI's taxonomy places the organism in Eukaryota, Metazoa, Chordata, Actinopteri, Cypriniformes, Danionidae.
AAGAUCACAAGAAGAAAAGAAGAUUCAAAACAUUGGAUUCUGGUCAGAAAGUCCACAACAUGAUCCUUGAGCAAGAUCAAACAAGCUUGGCACAGAAGAGAAACAUCCACAAGCAACUAUGAUGUCUGACUGGCAUACAGUUGAGGCGAUGAUCGCCUGUCAUACACCUAAAGAUGAACAGGUUUGUUUGCAAUUAUUUUAAACACAUACUGUCAACAUUAUUUCAUAGAUCUAUUACAACCUGCGAGUUUGGCCCUGGCACUAUACUAAAAAGAUGUUUUGUUUUGUAAAUGUAUCUGAUCAUGGUACAUAAGGCACAACUAUAGUGACAGUGAUGAAGAAAAAUUAUUUUAGACAAGGAGGCUCG